RNAcentral lists this ribosomal RNA (567 nucleotides) under uncultured Alphaproteobacteria bacterium. Its description in RNAcentral is "bacterial SSU rRNA". It matches the Rfam family "Bacterial small subunit ribosomal RNA", at positions 38 to 653 of the family's 1533-position model. The record is from RNAcentral. Lineage: Bacteria; Pseudomonadati; Pseudomonadota; Alphaproteobacteria.
GGCGGCAGGCUUAACACAUGCAAGUCGAGCGCCUCGCAAGAGGAGCGGCAGACGGGUGAGUAACACGUGGGAAUCUACCCAUCCUUACGGAACAACUCCGGGAAACUGGAGCUAAUACCGUAUACGCCCUUCGGGGGAAAGAUUUAUCGAGGAUGGAUGAGCCCGCGUUGGAUUAGCUAGUUGGUGGGGUAAAGGCCUACCAAGGCGACGAUCCAUAGCUGGUCUGAGAGGAUGAUCAGCCACAUUGGGACUGAGACACGGCCCAAACUCCUACGGGAGGCAGCAGUGGGGAAUAUUGGACAAUGGGCGCAAGCCUGAUCCAGCCAUGCCGCGUGAGUGAUGAAGGCCCUAGGGUUGUAAAGCUCUUUCACCGGAGAAGAUAAUGACGGUAUCCGGAGAAGAAGCCCCGGCUAACUUCGUGCCAGCAGCCGCGGUAAUACGAAGGGGGCUAGCGUUGUUCGGAUUUACUGGGCGUAAAGCGCACGUAGGCGGAUCGAUCAGUCAGGGGUGAAAUCCCAGAGCUCAACUCUGGAACUGCCUUUGAUACUGUCGAUCUGGAGUAUGGAA